AGCCACCUUGAUGCACAUCUGGCACACCAGCAAUCGGUCGUUCUCAUUGGUCCAAUCAAUACCAGACACUCCUUCAUCACCCACCUGGGGAGAUGUGCACAGAGAGGACUGGAGACAGGAGUGCCCUGGAUGGGAGGAGACGAGCACGGAGAGCCCAGAGGUGAUACGUUGGAGGGGGGGAAACCUGAAAAAGAUGUUUCCAAUUUUAAAAAAUUGGUUUGCUGUAAAGAUGGUUGGAGGUGACAGAGGCAGCGCAGGAGGCAGACAUGGAGCGGCUAUUUGAGAUGGUCAUCAUCACUGAGUUGUUCCAUGAUUCACUGGUUUGAUUUAAGGCAACAGUCAGAUAAAUAAAUUAAUGUAACCGAAAAAUAUUACCGUGAUUUCUUACUAUUAAAAGUUAUUGUGUUCCUCUUGG
Molecule: long non-coding RNA, 415 nt
Organism: Xiphias gladius (swordfish)
Lineage: Eukaryota; Metazoa; Chordata; Actinopteri; Istiophoriformes; Xiphiidae
Exons: 3
Source: RefSeq, a predicted model, not a curated record